CUGCUUACUUCAGUCGCACAUAUAAUAAAAUUGGGACAUUUAGAAAAGAUGAGCAUGGUCCCUGCACUGGAAUGACAUGCAAAUAGGUCUGAAAUAAUGCCAGAAUUU
Molecule: small nuclear RNA, 108 nt
Organism: Eublepharis macularius
Lineage: Eukaryota; Metazoa; Chordata; Lepidosauria; Squamata; Eublepharidae
Source: RefSeq, a predicted model, not a curated record